AACGAACGCUGGCGGCAUGCCUAACACAUGCAAGUCGAACGAGACCUUCGGGUCUAGUGGCGCACGGGUGCGUAACGCGUGGGAACCUGCCCUUAGGUUCGGAAUAACUCCCCGAAAGGGGUGCUAAUACCGGAUAAUGUCUUCGGACCAAAGAUUUAUCGCCUUUGGAUGGGCCCGCGUUGGAUUAGCUAGUUGGUAGGGUAAAAGCCUACCAAGGCGACGAUCCAUAGCUGGUCUGAGAGGAUGAUCAGCCACACUGGGACUGAGACACGGCCCAGACUCCUACGGGAGGCAGCAGUGGGGAAUAUUGGACAAUGGGGGAAAGCCUGAUCCAGCAAGGACGCGUGAGUGAUGAAGGCCUUAGGGUUGUAAAGCUCUUUUACCCGGGAUGAUAAUGACAGUACCGGGAGAAUAAGCUCCGGCUAACUCCGUG
Molecule: ribosomal RNA, 433 nt
Filed under: uncultured bacterium
Lineage: Bacteria
Description: partial 16S ribosomal RNA
Rfam family: Bacterial small subunit ribosomal RNA
Source: RNAcentral